CAGCAGCCGCGGGAAUACAGAGGGUGCGAGCGUUAAUCGGAUUUACUGGGCGUAAAGCGUGCGUAGGCGGCUGUUUAAGUCGGAUGUGAAAUCCCUGAGCUUAACUUAGGAAUUGCAUUCGAUACUGGGAAGCUAGAGUAUGGGAGAGGAUGGUAGAAUUCCAGGUGUAGCGGUGAAAUGCGUAGAGAUCUGGAGGAAUACCGAUGGCGAAGGCAGCCAUCUGGCCUAAUACUGACGCUGAGGUACGAAAGCAUGGGGAGCAAACAGGAUUAGAGACCCCUGUAGUCCCUGUCUCUUAUAC
Molecule: ribosomal RNA, 301 nt
Filed under: uncultured bacterium
Lineage: Bacteria
Description: partial 16S ribosomal RNA
Rfam family: Bacterial small subunit ribosomal RNA
Source: RNAcentral